UCCACAGUAGCUCAGUGGUAGAGCAAUCGGCUGUUAACCGAUCCGUCGCAGGUUCGAGUCCUGCCUGUGGAGCCA
RNAcentral lists this transfer RNA (75 nucleotides) under Lentibacillus salicampi. RNAcentral describes it as "tRNA-Asn". It matches the Rfam family "tRNA". From Rfam's summary of the family: Transfer RNA (tRNA) molecules are approximately 80 nucleotides in length. Their secondary structure includes four short double-helical elements and three loops (D, anti-codon, and T loops). Further hydrogen bonds mediate the characteristic L-shaped molecular structure. tRNAs have two regions of fundamental functional importance: the anti-codon, which is responsible for specific mRNA codon recognition, and the 3' end, to which the tRNAs corresponding amino acid is attached (by aminoacyl-tRNA synthetases). tRNAs cope with the degeneracy of the genetic code in two manners: having more than one tRNA (with a specific anti-codon) for a particular amino acid; and 'wobble' base-pairing, i.e. permitting non-standard base-pairing at the 3rd anti-codon position. The record is from RNAcentral. Lineage: Bacteria; Bacillati; Bacillota; Bacilli; Caryophanales; Bacillaceae.